Long non-coding RNA from Saccostrea cuccullata (small rock oyster), 896 nucleotides. RefSeq lists it as uncharacterized. The record is from RefSeq and is a predicted model, not a curated record. NCBI's taxonomy places the organism in Eukaryota, Metazoa, Mollusca, Bivalvia, Ostreida, Ostreidae. The transcript is spliced from 3 exons.
AGAACGGUUGCAACCUUACAGGAACAACUACAAAUGGCACGACUGAAUGACGCUGAUUCUCAAAGAUAUGAAAGAAGUAGGUACAGCCAGACAGGAAUACAUGUAGAUGGAUACGUAUGAAAAAGACAAGACUGAAUGACAUUUAAUCCUCCAGAUAUAGAAAUAAGCAGUUACAGCUAGUGAGGAGUUUGUGAAAAUAAGUGAAAAAUACAGGACUGAUGCACCUUGACUCUCCAAGAUAUGGAAACAGGCAGCUACAGACAGAUAGAAAACCCUCCAGGGUGUGUGAAUAAGCAGUACAGCCAGACUGAAAUUGGUGAAAACAAUAUGAAAACUCAAGACUGAUAAAUGUUGACCCUGCAAGAUGUAAAUAAGCAGCUACCACUAGACAGGAAUCGAUGGAAACAUGUAGAAAAGACAAGACUGAUGGACGUUGACCCUCCAAGAUAUGGUAAAAACACAGCUACAACCAGUCAGAAAUCGAUGGUAACAACUUGAAAUGCUAGACUGAUGUACGUUGGUCUUCUCAACAGCAAGACUUACCACAGCGGAUAACUGUCCCUUAUCAGUGCCCAGUAGGAGACUCAGAUGAAAUUAUGUGGGUGUCCUUGACAUUUUGAAUGACAAGGAGCUCCCAGAAAAUAAAAGCAUCGAAGGGACAUAUCCUUGUGUUCGUGUUUGGAGAAAGACAAAGAAAGAUGUCAACAGAGAAAGCCAGAUCUGUGAAGCACACACAAGCACAUCCACCAAAGUUACGGGUGUCUGAGUUGGAAGAGGGUAUGGGGUCGCCCACUCAGACACGUGGGUUUUCUCCGGGUGCUCCGGUUUCCUCCCACAUUGACCCCACUUCUUUUUUCUGUACGCUAAUGACAUACAUGUAAUUAUGUUUUCGUUUU